RNAcentral lists this long non-coding RNA (1672 nucleotides) under Sinocyclocheilus anshuiensis. Its description in RNAcentral is "lncRNA (ENSSANG00000028667.1)". The record is from RNAcentral. Lineage: Eukaryota; Metazoa; Chordata; Actinopteri; Cypriniformes; Cyprinidae.
AUGUUGAUAUUUAAGACUAUACAUACAGUCUCCAAACUUGGUGACAAUGUGGAGAUUCAGAACAGAUUCACUCAACAGUGUUCUCCGUUAUGUAAAAAGGAUUCAACUGCUCGGUCCAGGGUGCAAGCCAACGCAAAAUGUUUUUUUUUUUUUUUUUUGCCAUCAGCUUUAUCGCCACCUGCUGACUGCAUGGCUGAAGUUCACCUUUGGCUUGAAGUGGUUACUGUGCUGCAAGACCGUCUGUUUGAUCUUUGCUGUUCCAGAUCUUCUGAUGAAGACGGAGGCUCUCCAGUGCUUCGUGUUGCAUCUCCACCUCCCCUUAAUUCCUGUCCUCAUCCUUCAGAGAAAGAUCCCAAGGUCAGGAAUUCCAAACAGCACGUGAAAUGAUGACUGCAUGACAAGAACUAAAAGCCCUGGAAGAAGUGGAGGCCUGUAGUUUCAUUUGCACCAUAUUCGGACUACUCAGAGGAACGUGUUUCCUUGCUAGGAGGAGGGAGUGAACUGUGAAUGCUGGAACAGCGAACUAUGAGAUCUAGAACCUGCACAGAAUAGUUCUGCUCGAGUGCAGCCAGGGUCAAACACCGCACACACAUUAAUAACUGAAAUACACCUGCAUACACACGUCCAAAAAAUGAAUUGUUGAUCACACACUCGCUGACAUGGCUUAACACAGUUCUACUACACUUCAUCUCUGGCUGCCAUGUAAAUAAUGUAUAUAACCCUUUUCCCUUUCUCUGUUGGGUUUCAGUUUUGUUAGAUUUUUUUUUUCUUUUUUCUUUUCUUCUCUUUUAUGACAUGCCUUAACAGUUCAGUUUUGCCUGUUAAGGCACACUUAAGAUGAGUAAAACAAACAAAAAAAAGUGUUAACAGUCAGCGAGACUAGCUCUGUGACAUAAUAGCGUGUGAUUUUAUUUAAGAAACCCUUGAAACAUUAUGAACCUGCGAAAUGAUUUAUAUAACAUUUCAAAUGAUCCCCACAAAAGACGUGUAAUUAAUUCUUGGUUGUAACUGGGCAAGUAUGAUGAUACACCCUAAUGUUAAAACCGUUUUUGCUUUGCAUUUUCAAUACUCAAAGGCAGCAAAAAAGUUUCCAGGUCAGAAUUGUGUGUCAAAUGUCUUCAUUUUUGAGCUCAAAAUAGACGUGGCUGUGUAGAAGUACUUUUACUAACACAUGCUUGAGUGUCAGCUUCAGCUGUUACUGAGCUAAAGAUCAGAAAGGAUGGGAUUUGUUGGUGGAGGUGCUGCACAUAGGUCACUCUCGGAGUACGGUAUUGCCCUUUUAAGAUGAUUAAUUGUGUAAUGUUACAGGUCAGAUUAAACUAGAGAUGCCUAAUGUCUUUACUGGUAUGCAAAAACCCAUGUUUUAAAAUGUUAAUGAAGAUAAAAAUACAUGUUUCUCAUAUUGAUUCAGUGUGUGAAGCAACAAUACUGUAUUGACUGUCACAGAGCUGUGUGUUCAUGUUAAAGUGAUCAACUGAAUAACAGUGGCACUGGCUGAUUCUUAAUCAUAAGAGCUUAUACUAGUCAUCCUUACUAUCUAUCACACGCAACCUGAGGUGGAUGUCUUUUGAGAUUUCCAGAGAUACAAGGUCAUAAACCAUUUUGACAAUAAUGUUUGAAUAUUCAUUAUGUAAAUAGUUUUGGGGGUUUCUGGUUUGUUUGAAGAAAAACA